UCCAGUAACAUUACCGAAGGGGCAACACCCGUUCCCAUUCCGAACACGGAAGUUAAGGCCUUCGAGGUCGAUGGUACUAUCUUCGCAAGGAGACGGGAGAGUAGAACGUUGCUGGGC
This 117-nucleotide ribosomal RNA is filed under the name Candidatus Omnitrophota bacterium. The record is from RNAcentral. Lineage: Bacteria; Pseudomonadati; Candidatus Omnitrophota.